GGUUUUAAUUUUGAAGCUACUGACAGUAGCUCUCCUCUCAAACCCAGUCAGUAAACAUAGACGGACUGGAAGAAGCUUGAGAACCGCCAGUGUAAAAUAAAAACCGUUUAAGACAUUUAAAGUAGUAGUACAUGAUAAACUUCUCCUAAAAUUAAAAUCCUAUGGCAUUUCAGGACCCUUACACAACUGGAUAUCUGCUUUUCUGUCGAACAGACAACAAGUGGUUAAGAAAUGUUCUGGAUGCCAUUCUGGAGAACUGUAGUAACAGCCUGUGAUGAGAUAAUCCCUUUCCUGCCAGAUCCUGAAGAUGAAACUCAAAUACUUUGGCCACCUAAUGAGGAGGAAGGACUCACUGGAGAAGAGCCUAAUGCUGGGAACGACUGAGGGCAAAAGAAGAAGGGGACGGCAGCGAAUGAGGUGGCUGGAUGGAGUCACUGAAGCAGUCAGCAGCAUGAGCUUAAAUGGACCCCAGAGGAUGGUAGAGGACAGGAGGCCUGGAGGAACGUUGUCCGUGAGGUUGCGAAGGGUUGGACACAACUUCCCAACUAACAAGUAGUUUGUGUCUUUAGUUCAAAUGAACUCCCAAAUUCCAACUGCCCUUUUAAAUACUAGGAUGAUAUGAAUAUAUUUUCAUUAACUGUCUGGGAGCAUUUCAGAAUCAUCUGAUUCAUCAGUGAAAACAAAAUGUUAGAUCAUGAAAGGCCUCGGCUUGAUCCCUCAGGGCUGUUACUUAUCAAGCACAAUGUUUUUAAAGAAGCAAUAGCUUAUGUGUUCAUCAAUAUAGAUGUAACUCAAUACUUAUAUAAAUUGGGAUCUAGCUUUGGACUCAGAGUAGACCAACUUAGAACUGUGGAACUACUGAAUUAAACAACUAUAUUUAAUUUGUAACAGAGGAAUUGUGCUUCAUGCACAAUUUAAUUUGAAAAUUAUGAAAAUAAGAAAAAUAUUAGCAACUUUUAUAUAAAGUUGGUAAUAUUUUAUAGAAAGUAUAACACAAACAGAAAACAUUUAAUUACAAAAGCCAAUAAAACAAAAAGGUUUUGAGAUUUUUUUAAAAAUACAUAUACUAAAAUUAGACAUAAAUUUAUAUUUUUUUAUUUGAACUUUUUGGUAUCUGCCUGAUAUAUUCUCAGUAAAAAUAAUCAGGAAAGGCUAUAAGCUGCAGAAUAUUAAGGGCACAGAUAGAUUCUGGAAACUAGCAUAAAUUAUUCCAAAUAUCAGAAAUAUUGCUAGAUUUACAUACGUAAAAUAAAUUUAUAUUUUGAUAAAUCUUUUUGGAGCAAAAUUGUUUUAUGAUUUAGAAGAGAAGAUAGUGUUGUCUGUUGAUAAAUAUCUGCCAAACAUGAUAGAUGAAGAAUAUUAU
Long non-coding RNA from Ahaetulla prasina, 1363 nucleotides. RefSeq lists it as uncharacterized. The transcript is spliced from 3 exons. NCBI's taxonomy places the organism in Eukaryota, Metazoa, Chordata, Lepidosauria, Squamata, Colubridae. The record is from RefSeq and is a predicted model, not a curated record.